CCUCGUCCCGAUGGUCAUCUUAUCCUUGCACAUGGCAGUCUUUGCAACUUCAGCUGUGGGGAACUCAACAAAGGCUUCGCCGGUAGCCUUACCAUCGGAGCGGUAUGCAAUAUGCACAUUCUCCUCUGUCAGCUCAUACUCCAGGAAGAACUUGAUGAUGUCCUCGGUGGUGGCAGAGUAGGGAAGGCCACGGAGCUUCAGCACCUCAGUGUACUCCAUGCUGCCCUUGUCUUCCGCUGGCUUCUUCGGCCUUGGAGGUGGUGGGGAGCGGCGGUACUCUGGCUCAAAGUACCCACCUUGGUUCACCUCAUUGGCUAUUGCACAGUAGUACUCCUGUUUCUUGCAUCUGAACACCUCAACAUAUCUCCGGCCCAUGUUCUGCCUGUUGCGAUGCAGAGCAAAUUCUGCUUGCAUGGCCCCCUGGAAGACCACAAAAGCCUCACCAGUAAAGCGGCCAUUCUUGUUAACCAGGAGGCAAUCCACUAUUUCCAGCCCCGCAAAGAACUUGCAGAUGUCAAUUUCGUUGCAAUCAAAAGGGAGUCCUCGCAGCCGGACACCUGGAAAGUUUUGGAUGCCAGUGCUAACCCCUGCACCAGCUAAGUUGCUGCUGAAGGGCUGGUAGAAGCCACCGCUGGCACCACCAGCGUUGCUGCCCAUAGCCCCAAAAUAGGGAGGGCCUGGUUCCAUCAUCCUGGCCCUCUUUGAGACAUCCAAUGGACUCCCUGCGUUCACUGCGAAGUAGGGAUUCGAUUCCAUCAUCAUUCGUGGCCUCUUUGAUCCCUCGUACCCAUCCGAAACCCCCCAGCCUCCCAUCAUUGCCCUUCAGAUAAUCCAGAGUCCCAAAAAGAGAAAAGAAAAGGAGAAUAACCCCCCAUCUCUCAAUCCCGAUUUCAAAUAAUAACCCAAAUAUAAAGAUAACUGUGCAGAAAAGAAAUACUCCCUCCGUUUUUAAAUAUAUGAUGUUUAGGACAAUGUAAACAUCAUAUAUUCAAAAACGGAGGGAAUAGUGCAGACAGCAAGGACAACAUGUAGUAAAACAAGCCAUAAUUUUUAGUCAAAACACAAUGAAAUUUGAGUCCCAAUAUUACUGUUGACAGCAUUUAUAAGAGCAAAUUUUGGGCUAUGACUGGAGUUUAUCUGAACACUUGAAUGUCAUGUGUUUAGUGCAGUGAAUAAUAUAUAUGACUCUGGCUAAAUUUCUAAUAUUAUAUUUGAUUGCUUUAAGUACAUGGACAAAAUUUACAGUUUACAUUAAUAAUGAGCUGAAACCUUAUCCUCUAGAUGAAAUUUGAGCCAUGUACAGAAGUUGAAUUAUAAGUUUACAUCGUGUGCUUGAUCACAAUUGGACGGUAUAGUUAGAAUUCAGAUAAGGACAAAAAAAUUUCAAGUAUCACAACAAGAACAAAUUAUCUUAGAAACACCCUAUUCUGAUAUUUUGCUACUGUAAAGGAAUCAAACCAAAUAUUGCUAAUUAAUCAACACGGCACACAACUUAUUUGGCACAAAUUCGCUCAGGACUAUUUCGGUGCCCAAUAAUUUCCCAUGUGGUACUAAGAGAGUGCACGAAAUUAACAGCCCAAAAUCCCGUCACCUAGCAUCUUAGUCGAUGAAUUGCAUGCGGCAUCAAUUUGGUCCACAGCCAGCGGCGGAUUUUGCCGUCGGCAAGGGGUUCAGAUGAACCCCCAAUAAUCCCGGCGCAUAAGCCCAAUCUAAUACUUAUAUUAACCAAUUCGCGAUGAACUAGAUGGAUUGUUUCGGGUUCAGGGAACAUAUUAUCACUAAAAUUCAGGGGCUCACAUCAAAGGGCGGAUUCUAAGGCAGAAUAAGCGAGCAAUCACGCCAAUCAAGCUAGGGCAUCGCAACCAGUAAAAGAGGAAUAAGCAGCUGGGGAUAAGGGGGAGAGGUGCAGAUGCGGCCCAAGCAUACCUGGAUCUGGAAGGAGGCGUGUUCAUCUGGAUCGGCCGACGACCGGCGGGGUGGCGGAGGAGAGGGCGCCCGGUCGCGGUCAGGAGAGGGGACUCUGCCUCGGGCGGCUAGGG
RNAcentral lists this long non-coding RNA (2039 nucleotides) under Setaria viridis. RNAcentral's name for it is "long non-coding RNA (SVIR_LNC002644)". The record is from RNAcentral. Lineage: Eukaryota; Viridiplantae; Streptophyta; Magnoliopsida; Poales; Poaceae.